This 189-nucleotide unclassified non-coding RNA is filed under the name uncultured fungus. RNAcentral's name for it is "sequence contains ITS1, 5.8S rRNA gene". Lineage: Eukaryota; Fungi. The record is from RNAcentral.
UAGAAUGAUACUUGCCGGGGGGGCAGUGCUGCGCUUAGUUGCGCGGUGCUACGUCCCGGCGAAACUCACACACUGUGGAGAUUUUUUCUACGCUUUUUUCUUUGGGCAGCCGCCCAGAGGUAACAAACACAAACAAUUAUGCAGUGACCCAGUCAGAAAUCUGUUUAGCUUUUUAAACAACAAAAUUUA